AGGUAUAAAACAAUAGGGUUAAACAACCAAUAUAUUAUGGCAGUCUUAAUUAAUUAAAGAAGCUCGCUUUAUAAUCGUAAACACCCGAUAAUUUUCACUUAGGAAUAAAAGUUUAUAUACCGCCGUUAAGGAAUAGCCAAAACAUUAAUCCAAAUAUUUAAAAUAACACAUUUCAGGUCAAGGUGUAACACACAGCUAAGAAAAAGUAAGCUACAUAUAAAAACAAUUUAAGAAAGUAAAAUAAAAAUAAUCACAGAAAGAGAAUUUAUUCGUAAAUAAUAAUUAAAAUCUAAUAUAGAAUUUAUAAAUAAAGAUGC
RNAcentral lists this ribosomal RNA (317 nucleotides) under Panjange sp. Ind109. RNAcentral describes it as "partial 12S ribosomal RNA". The record is from RNAcentral. Lineage: Eukaryota; Metazoa; Arthropoda; Arachnida; Araneae; Pholcidae.